UGAAACAAGGGAUGAAUUAACGGGGCCAAAACGGGGGCCGAAUCUCACAACCUUCUUUUGAUUUUCAAUGGUAAUAAGUAAUGUGCCUUAAACAAUUGUUUAAAGGGAGAACCUGGGCGGAAGGUGAAGGAUAAUCAGGGUAUGAAAUCCUCUUUCGCUAAACAGUUGGUAGUCUGCCAUCCCAAAAUUUUCUGUGUCUUCACUUCCAAACCAACAAAAGCUAUCAAUCUCUUCUCACCCUUAUUGUUUUCUUCAAGUGGCUUAUUAAAUUCUCUCAAUUUUCGCUUUUUCACAUCUGAAAACGGUUUACCUAAUUACCCUUCACACAAAUCGAAUUCAAGCAAAGAUGUCUCAACUAAUGGAUACGACGUCGGCGAUAAAGGUACAUCUACUCUUUCUCUAUGUGUUCUUUUUUGUUGUUUGUUUGUAAUCUGUGAAUUGAGUGUACCUAAUGUUUAAUUGCAAAUUAAAUGUUGAAAAGGGGACCAAAAAAGGUGGAAUAACAAAAAUAAAUGAUUUUUAGAUAUUUGUAGUUGUUCAUAUGACUUUUUGUGUUCUGAUUAUUUCCUUUUUAUUCAUAUGUAUUUCAUUGUUCAUUAUCAUGUUAAAUUUUAUCUCAGUUUUUCCAGCUUGGUUUAAAUUCAAUACUCGAUAAUUCUUGCAGUAUUUUAACAGACACAUGAAAAUUCCUGCUAGUAGGCUAAAAAGGCAACUCAUUGGUCUUGAUUAUGUUAUAUAAUAAUGGUACUCUUUGGUGGCCUUUCAGCAUGUUACAAAGUUACACCUAGAUGUUGAUAUUCAAAAUCUGAUAGCUCCCCAGCAACUCAAGUAUGUGAGAGUUUUUAAAAGCUGGUAUUUAUCAUGUUUAAAAUGUUGAUGGGGUUGUCCUGCGAAGGCUGUCUGACUUCUACUUUAGUUGAGUUGUUUGAAUAUUAUGGAUAAAAAGAAAUUUAUGUAUGAUAUGAAAUAAAUAACGUGUAAGUUGUGCAUAUGUUCAGGGCUCCUAGUUAUACGUCUUCUCACGUGUCCUUUAUAAACUUGUACAUUAUUGUUCAUAAAUGAAUUUGUUAGGGUUCCCCUGAAACUCUCUCAUUUAACUCAUGAGUUAUCACAUUCUGUUACCUCAUAGGUGACACACACAGAUAGGAAUUAGAUGAAUUUCAAUUUCCCAAGUAGGGUAAGAAGGAAAUUUUUAUCAAUGGAAAGUAAUCAUACAAUGAUGAGGAUGUUAUUGUCGUUGUUGUUGUUGUUGUUAUUAUUAUUAUCAUCAUUUAUUUUUUAUUUUUUGGUAUUUAAUUCAUAAGUUACCAUGUGGUGCAAAAUAUUAAGAACAUAACACUACUAGUGAAGUUAUCGAUCGUGUAUAGAAAUUUUCCUUAUAAAACUCGUGAAAAUGAUUCUCAAUAGGCAGAGUUUUGCUUUAAACAAUGUCUUGCAUUGUUGCAAAGAUAUGAAAGGCAAAGAUUCUUUUUAUUUUUAUUUAAUUCAAUGGGCAGAAAUUUUCUAAAAGUUACACCACUAACAAUUACUUUUACAUGAGAAAAUUGAAUUUUUUUUUCAAGUGCUGUGCAGAUGAGAUUACCUAUUACUAUAUGUUGAUGGCACUAACAUAUCCAUCCUCUUCCAAUUCAG
This 1632-nucleotide long non-coding RNA is filed under the name Olea europaea (common olive). RNAcentral's name for it is "long non-coding RNA (OEUR_LNC011106)". The record is from RNAcentral. Lineage: Eukaryota; Viridiplantae; Streptophyta; Magnoliopsida; Lamiales; Oleaceae.